This is a long non-coding RNA of Alligator sinensis (Chinese alligator), 1688 nucleotides long. RefSeq lists it as uncharacterized. NCBI's taxonomy places the organism in Eukaryota, Metazoa, Chordata, Crocodylia, Alligatoridae. The record is from RefSeq and is a predicted model, not a curated record. The transcript has 4 exons.
UCGCGUUACCGCGCCUGCCCAGCCCAGCCCGGCCCGUCCCCCAGGGCUGGGGGCAGCCCUUUCACCAGCGCCGGCCGGGCCCGGGGUUAAGGGAAGUGAUUCUUCCACUGUAUUCAGCACUAGUGAAGCCUUGCACAGAGUGCUGUAUCCAGUUGUGGGCACUGUACUUCAAGGAAGAUGAAAGCAAAUUAGAAAGUGGCAAGAAAAGUGAAGGCAACAAAAGUGGAGAGAUCAGCAAAAUAUUGAGAUCAGAUCACAAAAUGCUUAGAUGGAGGAGUCGAGGUGGAUGUCAUCUACUUGGAUAUUAAGAAGGCCUUCGAUACGGUAUCUCAUCCUAUUCCCAUAAACAGAUGGAGCGGCUGCCACAUAGAUGAUUACAUGGUCAGGGUAGAGAUUGUUCAUCAGGCCAUAAACCUUCUCCAUGGAGACUUUUUUCCAAUAGCAUCAUGUAGUUGCUAACCUAGGGGAAAUAUCCUGCUGACCUGAGAAUGCAGACAAAUGUAGCACUUCUAGCAGUUGUCACAGGGGAUAUCUGCUGAAAGCUGAUUGCUUGCUCGUGUUCAAAAACCGGUACUGAUUCUGACCUCAGGGCACAUGGCUGUGGAACACAGAACGUCCAGAAAGUCUUCAUGGCAGGCAAUAAAUAUGUGGAUGAGGACAACUGUGACCUGUCACCCUGGGCAGUAAAAUCCUGCUCUAAGGCCAGAAUAGCUCAGAAGGGAGGGCAGUGGGAAAUGCUGCAUUAUGGGAUACCUGGAGGACUGCCUGGCCCACUUGUCAUUGGACACUGCAGUGGUGAUAAAUGUACAGAGGUCCUUUGAGAUGUUCUGACAAUUUCCUUCCAGUAUACUUUUGGCCAGUUUUGUCAUGGUCUAGGGCCCAAGCAGUUCUGUAUACAUUAUGUCUUGGGAUAAAAAUAUUUGUCCUGCAACAAAACAUGACAAGUGCAGUGUCCGUCCGUACUCUAAAUCUCUGUUUCUUCCCACUGAAGAGAGAGUCUGCUUGGAAUAAUCCUUGUAUGUAAACUGUCUGUAGAUUCUUUUCUUGCCCAAGAAAAAGGAUCUGUGGCAGCUGUAAUAUCCUGAAAGGUCUAUGGAGGGAUCAGUGGCAUGAUUUGGCUCUUUGCCAAAUGCAUAUGCAUUUUGAAGGAAUAGGUUCUACUCUUAGUUUUAGCCAACAACAUACCUGCUGUUCAGCUGCAGUUCUAUACUGAUUUCAGGGAUCCUGGUUUUCUCUGUUAAAAAAUAGCACAUCCUCUGAUAACCCCCUUGCAAAUUCUCCAAUUAACCGCCCCCCAAAUCUGUGUUUUUCUGUGAUUGAAGUGAAACACAACUAUAUAUUUUCAAUGGGAGGCUCAUAUAAUAUCUCUCUCUAUAUGUAUAUGUAUAUGUAUAUGUAUCUACAUUAAACUCUCUGGUAACUGGCAUCUUACAAGCUGGCAUGCUCUGUUAACUGGCAUGCCAGCUUGUAAGGAAAAGUGAAACAGGAAGUGCCUACCAUGGCACUUUUGGGUUCCAUGAGCCCCCACGGCCUCGGGCAAAGAAGCCUGCGCUGCUGAGCCCCCAUGGCCCGGGGGCAUAACAGGCUGUGCGGGGCUGUGCGGGGCCUGUCUCUCUGUCCUGUGGGGCCCAGAGGGCCUGCAGGAGGGGCGGCGAUGCCACGGGAGGGGCGAGAGGGGUGGAGGGAGG